Molecule: ribosomal RNA, 1482 nt
Filed under: Escherichia coli
Lineage: Bacteria; Pseudomonadati; Pseudomonadota; Gammaproteobacteria; Enterobacterales; Enterobacteriaceae
Description: partial 23S ribosomal RNA
Rfam family: Bacterial large subunit ribosomal RNA
Source: RNAcentral
CGUAGUCGAUGGGAAACAGGUUAAUAUUCCUGUACUUGGUGUUACUGCGAAGGGGGGACGGAGAAGGCUAUGUUGGCCGGGCGACGGUUGUCCCGGUUUAAGCGUGUAGGCUGGUUUUCCAGGCAAAUCCGGAAAACCAAGGCUGAGGCGUGAUGACGAGGCACUACGGUGCUGAAGCGACAAAUGCCCUGCUUCCAGGAAAAGCCUCUAAGCAUCAGGUAACAUCAAAUCGUACCCCAAACCGACACAGGUGGUCAGGUAGAGAAUACCAAGGCGCUUGAGAGAACUCGGGUGAAGGAACUAGGCAAAAUGGUGCCGUAACUUCGGGAGAAGGCACGCUGAUAUGUAGGUGAAGCGACUUGCUCGUGGAGCUGAAAUCAGUCGAAGAUACCAGCUGGCUGCAACUGUUUAUUAAAAACACAGCACUGUGCAAACACGAAAGUGGACGUAUACGGUGUGACGCCUGCCCGGUGCCGGAAGGUUAAUUGAUGGGGUUAGCGGCAACGCGAAGCUCUUGAUCGAAGCCCCGGUAAACGGCGGCCGUAACUAUAACGGUCCUAAGGUAGCGAAAUUCCUUGUCGGGUAAGUUCCGACCUGCACGAAUGGCGUAAUGAUGGCCAGGCUGUCUCCACCCGAGACUCAGUGAAAUUGAACUCGCUGUGAAGAUGCAGUGUACCCGCGGCAAGACGGAAAGACCCCGUGAACCUUUACUAUAGCUUGACACUGAACAUUGAGCCUUGAUGUGUAGGAUAGGUGGGAGGCUUUGAAGUGUGGACGCCAGUCUGCAUGGAGCCGACCUUGAAAUACCACCCUUUAAUGUUUGAUGUUCUAACGUUGGCCCCUAAUCGGGGUUGCGGACAGUGUCUGGUGGGUAGUUUGACUGGGGCGGUCUCCUCCUAAAGAGUAACGGAGGAGCACGAAGGUUGGCUAAUCCUGGUCGGACAUCAGGAGGUUAGUGCAAUGGCAUAAGCCAGCUUGACUGCGAGCGUGACGGCGCGAGCAGGUGCGAAAGCAGGUCAUAGUGAUCCGGUGGUUCUGAAUGGAAGGGCCAUCGCUCAACGGAUAAAAGGUACUCCGGGGAUAACAGGCUGAUACCGCCCAAGAGUUCAUAUCGACGGCGGUGUUUGGCACCUCGAUGUCGGCUCAUCACAUCCUGGGGCUGAAGUAGGUCCCAAGGGUAUGGCUGUUCGCCAUUUAAAGUGGUACGCGAGCUGGGUUUAGAACGUCGUGAGACAGUUCGGUCCCUAUCUGCCGUGGGCGCUGGAGAACUGAGGGGGGCUGCUCCUAGUACGAGAGGACCGGAGUGGACGCAUCACUGGUGUUCGGGUUGUCAUGCCAAUGGCACUGCCCGGUAGCUAAAUGCGGAAGAGAUAAGUGCUGAAAGCAUCUAAGCACGAAACUUGCCCCGAGAUGAGUUCUCCCUGAGACUUAGAGUCUCCUGAAGGAACGUUGAAGACGACGACGUUGAUAGGCCGGGUGUGU